Molecule: RNase P RNA, 412 nt
Filed under: Belnapia mucosa
Lineage: Bacteria; Pseudomonadati; Pseudomonadota; Alphaproteobacteria; Acetobacterales; Roseomonadaceae
Description: RNase P RNA component class A
Rfam family: Bacterial RNase P class A
About the family: Ribonuclease P (RNase P) is a ubiquitous endoribonuclease, found in archaea, bacteria and eukarya as well as chloroplasts and mitochondria.
Source: RNAcentral
UCAGGUGGCUGGGCGGCCGCUGGCAUCGCUGCAAGGCGGUGCUGGAGGAAAGUCCGGGCUCCACGGGAAUACGGUGCCGGCCAACGGCCGGCGGGGGUCAAACCCCAGGGAAAGUGCCACAGAGAAGAGACCGCCGGGCCGCCGCAAGGCUGUCCGGCAAGGGUGAAACGGUGCGGCAAGAGCGCACCGCGCCCCUGGCAACGGGGGCGGCAGGGCAAACCCCACCGGGAGCAAGGCCGAAUAGGGGUGACCGGCGAGCGUGGGCUUGGCCCGCGUGGCGCAAGGGCGUUCCCGCCCCGUCGCCCGGGUUGGCCGCGUGAGGCGCGCCGCGAGGCGCGUCCCAGAGGAAUGGUCGCCUCGUCCCCGGUUUUCCGGGGGCGGACAGAACCCGGCUUACAGGCCGCCUGACGCA